Molecule: ribosomal RNA, 468 nt
Filed under: uncultured bacterium
Lineage: Bacteria
Description: partial 16S ribosomal RNA
Rfam family: Bacterial small subunit ribosomal RNA
Source: RNAcentral
GACGAACGCUGGCGGCGUGCUUAACACAUGCAAGUCGAACGGAAAGGCCCUGCUUUUGUGGGGUGCUCGAGUGGCGAACGGGUGAGUAACACGUGAGUAACCUGCCCUUGACUUUGGGAUAACUUCAGGAAACUGGGGCUAAUACCGGAUAGGAGCUCCUGCUGCAUGGUGGGGGUUGGAAAGUUUCGGCGGUUGGGGAUGGACUCGCGGCUUAUCAGCUUGUUGGUGGGGUAGUGGCUUACCAAGGCUUUGACGGGUAGCCGGCCUGAGAGGGUGACCGGCCACAUUGGGACUGAGAUACGGCGCAGACUCCUACGGGAGGCAGCAGUGGGGAAUAUUGCCCAAUGGGCGGAAGCCUGAUGAAGCAACGCCGCGUGCGGGAUGACGGCCUUCGGGUUGUAAACCGCUUUCGCCUGUGACGAAGCGUGAGUGACGGUAAUGGGUAAAGAAGCACCGGCUAACUACGUG